GUACUCAGCAGUAUCUCAUUGUAAGGAUGUCCAUUCUCCUGUGAUUGCCGUUUCUUUUCCUAUUUCUGAUAUUAUGAACAUUCUUGUUCGUGUUAUUUUUGGAGAUAUAUACUAUGUAUAUGUAAUAUAGUACUCAUUUUUGUGGGGAAUAUACAGAGAGAGGAAUGACUGGGUCUUAGGCUAUGUAUAUGUGUAGCUUGAACAGAAACUGCCAGACAGUUUUACAGAGUGGCUGCACCCUUUCACGCUCCCACGAGCCAUGUGUGAGAGUGCCCAUUGCUACAUUCCCAUCAGCACUUGGUGUCUUCCCCUUUCCUUUCUGAGGCCCAGUGGUGAGGUGGCUCAGAACCACAGCACUGAAACCAUUCUUGAUGAGGUCAUAGCUUUUAUCCUAAUUGCCAAAUGCAACAACAGCACUAACGAUAGUGAAUAAUGGCCCACGAUAUACUGAACAUUCAACCUGUGCCAGGCACUAUGCUAAGUACUUUACAGGUGUGGUCUUGUUAACCCUCAUGGCAGCUGGUGAAUUAGGAACUGGGCAUCUCCCAGUGUUUCAGGUUAGGAAAUGGUGAUUUACAGGUGGUUAAUAACUGUCAAGAUGACUGCUUCAUAGAGGCAGGGUUUGAACUGAAGUGACAUUCUUCACCACCACGCUGUACUGGUUUUCGAUGCAGCAGAAACCUGUUCCACUUUUCUGUGCCUCAGCUUUGGUAGCACUUAGUCCCAGUGGUCCCUCUUUUCCAGUUCUGACUGGAUUGUUCUCUGCCUCUUACUCUGAUCGCCUCCUCAAUAUUGGCUUUGCCUGACAUCUCAUGGCCCUUUCUUUUUAUUGUAAUUAGUCUCCCAGAAUGAUCCGCCUCUACUCUUAGUUCUUCAGCUCAUGCAUGUUGUGUCCCAUAUCCAUGCCGCAAUAUAGGCAGGAUAGUUAACAGGUAUUCAUUGCUUUUUGGUGCUUGUAAACACUGUAUAUACACUGUUUCAAUUCAUCCUCACAGUGAUUUUUUGAGACUCUACUUGUACUCUGAUUUGUAGGUGAGGAAGCAGAAGCUUGUGGAAGUUGAACGGCUUGCUGAAGGUCAGAAAACUAGCAAGGGGGUGUUGCUGGGAUUUGAGCCUGGGCUGAUUCUCCCUAGGCUCCAGAGAGAUCCCUCAUCCCUUCCACCAUGUGGGGACACAGUAAGAAGGCACUGGCUAUGAACCAGAAAGAAUGCCCUCACCAAAACGUGACCAUGCUGGCGCCUUGAUCCUGGACUCCCCAGCCUCCAGAACUGUGAGAAACAAAUUUCUGUUGUUUGUAAGCUACCCAGGCUUUGGUAUGUUACAGCAGCCCAAAUGGACCAAGACAUUGAUGUAGUUUUCUGAUACAUGCUUUUAAAGAAUUCAGUGUUAAAUUACUAAGAAUCACUGUGUGUGAGCUGUAGUGUUUUUUUUUCCUUCUUCUCAAAAUAUUCUGUUACGUCAAUAUAUCACAAUGUAUUUAUCGAUUUUUGUGGACAUUCACCUAUUUCCAUAAUUAUAUCCAAAAAUUCUCACUAUACUACCUUGUUCAAUGAAAGAUACUUGUUUCCUUUUUCUUUCUUUUUUUAUUUGGUGGUUAUCCACCUUGCUGCACACACGUGCAGGAGUUUUAGUUGUAAUUCUUCUUAUGAGUGGAAUGACUGAUGGAAAACAACUUUACAAGAUGUUGCCCAGUGUUUUCUAAAGUGACGUUAUCAGUUUGUUAACUUCACCAGCAAUGAAUGUGAGAUUUCAUACACCACAUCCUGUCCCACAUAUGAUAUUUUUGGGCUCUAUAAUUUCUUCCAGUUGAAUAGGUGCUAACUGGUUUCUUACUCUGGUCUUCACUGGCAUUUACCUCAUUACCACUGAGGUUGAACUCCUCAUUAAAAGUUUUUUGGCCAGUGUGUAUGUUCUUGUGGAAUAGAAUAGAGAGCCCAGAAGUAGCCACUUUUUAAUUGAAGUAUAGAUGAUUUACAAUAUUAUAUUAGUUUCAUGUGUACAACAUAGUGAUUCCAUAUUUUUAUAAAUUAUACUCCAUUUAAAGUACUUACAAAACAAUGGCUCUAUUUCCCUGUGCUGUACAGUAUAUCCUUGUUGCUUAUCUAUUUCAUACAUAGUAGUUUAUACCUCUUAAUCCCAUACAGCUAUCUUGCCCCUCCUCCUUUACCUCUCCCUACUGGUAACCACUAGUUUGUUCUCUAUGAGUCUUGUUCCUGUUUUAUAUAUAUUGGGUUGGCCAAAAAGUGCCUUUGGUUUUUAAGUAAAAAUAAAAGACACAUUUUUCAUUUUCACCAAGAACUUUAUUUUUUUAAAAGGAGUUUUUUAUAUGUUUUUAUAUUUUAUUUAUUUUUGGGGGUGUUGGGUCUUCGCUGCUGCACGUGGGCUUUCAUCUAGUUGCAGUGAGUGGGGGCUACUCUUCAUUGUGGUGCGCAGGCUUCUCAUUGCAGUGGCUUCUCUUGUUGUGGAGCACAGGCUCUAGGUGUGUGGGCUUCAGUAGUUUUGGCAUGCAGGCUCAGUAUUUGUGGCUUGAGGGCUCUAGAGUGCAGGCUCAGUAUUUGUGGCACACGGGCUCAGUUGCUUCACGGCAUGUGGGAUCUUCCCAGACCAGGGCCUGAACCCAUAUCCCCUGCACUGGCAAGCAGAUUAACCUCUGUGCCACCAGGGAAGUCCCACUACUUUUGUCUUUUGUCUUUAACCUCCAUAGUUUGUGUGUAGAUGAUUUCCUACCUAUACUUACAUUCGCCUUUACUGGUGAGCUUUCCCAUUUCAUAAUUUUCUUGUUUCUAGUUGUGGCCUUUUCUUUUCUGCCUACAGAAGAUCCUUUAGCAUUUGUUGUAAAGCUGGUUUGGUGGUGCUGAAUUCUUUUAGCUUUUGCUUGUCUAUAAAGCUUUUGAUUUCUCCAUAAAAUCUGACUAGAGUCUCGCUGGGUAGAGUAUUCUUGGUUGUAGGUUUCCCCCUUUCAUCACUUUAAAUAUAUCAUGCCAUUCCCUUCUGACCUGCAGAGUUUCUACUGAAAGUCAGCUGAUAGCAUUAUGGGAAUUCCCUUGUAUGUUAUUUGUUGCUUUUAAUAUUUUCUUUCUUACCAUGUGUCUUGGCAUGUUCCUCCUUGGAUUAAUCCCGUAUGGGACUCUGCACUUCCUGUGAACUUGGGGUGACUGUUACCUUUCCCGUGUUAAGGAAGUUUUCAGCUAUUAUCUCUUCAAGUAUUUUCUUGGCCCUUUCUCUCUUCUCCUUCUGGGACCCUAUAACGUGAAUGUUAGUGUGUUUGAUAUUGUCGCAGAUAUCUCUAAACUGUCCUCAUUUCUUUUCUUUCUUCUUUGUUCUGUGGCAGCGAUUUCCACCACUGUCUUCCAGUUCACUGACCCAUUCUUCUGCCUCAUUUAUUCUGCUGUUGAUCCCUUUAUAGUGUAUUUUUCAUUUCAGUUAUUGUAUUCUUCAACUCUGUUUGGUUGUUCUUUAUAUUUUCUAACUCUUUGCUAAAAACUUCUUGUAACUUAAACUUCUCUGCAUCCUUUCUUUUCCCGAAUUCUUGGGUCAUCUUUACGAUCAUUACUCUUAACUCUUCUUGGGUAGAUUGCCCAUCUCCACUUCAUUUAGUUGUUCUUGUGGGUUUAUUUCUUGUUGCUUCAUCUGGAACAUAUUCCUUUGCUGUCUCAUUUUGUCUGAAUUUCUAUUUGCAUUUUUAUGUGUGUUAGGUUCAUUAUGUUUUUCAACCUUGGAGAAGUGGCCCUCUCUAGGGGAUGGACUAUUUGUCCCAGCAGUAUACUCCCCUCUCAUCACCCAAGGGGCAGAGGACAGCUGGUCCUACAGUAGUUUCUGACCUGUGUUUAAGGACUUAGUUACACAAGCUUAGGGAUCAUAGUUUUCUUGCUUAUGGACUGCCCCCUGGUGAGUGAGGCUGGUCAAGAGGCUUGUGCAGGCUUCCUGGUGGGAGGGGCUGAUGCCUACCCACUGGAGGGUAGAGCUGGGUUUUGGCUUUCUGGUGAACAGGGCCAUGUCAAGGGAUGUCUCUAGAGGUGGCUGUGGACUGAGGAAGUCUUUAGGCAGCCUAUCUGCCGAUGGGUGGGGCUGUGUUCCCACCAAGUUGGCUGUUUGGUCUAAAGCAUCGCAGCAUGGGAGCCUACAGGCUUUUGGGUAGGGUUAGGUCUUGGUGCUAAUGACCCCAGAAAGACUUCUGCCUUCAGUGACAAGUUAAUGUAGAUGAAUACUCACCAAUAUCUCCGCCUCCAGUGUGUACGUCCCCAGGGUGAGAUACAGCUGCCCCCUGCCUCCCCAGGAGACCCUCCAAGACCAGCAGGUAGGUCUGGUCUACACUCCGAUGAAGUCACUGCUUUUGCCCUAGGUCCCAGUGUACAUGAGACUGUGUGUGCACUCCAAGAGUGGAGUUUCUGUUUUCCCCAGUCCUGUGGAGCUCCUGCAUUCAAGCCCUGUUGGCCUUCAAAAGUCAAAUGCUCUGGGGCUCCUCCUCCUGAUGCUGGACCCUCACGCUGGGGAGCCUGACGUGGGGCUAAGAACUCUCCUGUGGCAGAACUUCUGUGAUAUAAUUAUCCUCCAGUAUUCUCCAGUUUGUGUGUCACCCACCUGGGAGGUAUGGGAUUUGAUUAUAUUGUGAGUGUGCCCCUCCUACCAUCUCGCUCUGGUUUCCUCUUUAUGUCUUUGGCUGUAGAAUUUUUUUUGGUAGGUUCCAGUCAUCUUUAUCGAUGGUCGUUCAGCAGUUAGUUGUGAUUUUGGUGUGCUCAUGAGAAGAGUUAACACAAGGUCCUUCUCCACCAUCUUGUUUCCUCUCACUGUCACUAGUUGUUUACUUUCCUGUUUUUGCCACAUAUUGUGUCUUUUUUCUAUAUUCAGUUCUGGAGUUAGGAAAGUCCAAGAUCAAGAUUCCUAUGGGGUUCAGUUUCCUGGCUUGCAGAGAGCCACCUUCUCGCUAUGUCCUCAAAUGGAGAGAGAAGUCAUCGUGUUCAUAAGUGAGGACACACAAUAUGUUAAAUAUGUAACUUCUUCAGAAUAAAAAGAAAAAAUAAUUUAUACAAAAAAGGAAAAAAACAUUCCAACAAAUGAAAGUCCAGGACCAGAUGGCUUCAUAGGUGAAUUCAAUCAAACAUUUAGAGAGAGAAGACCUAACACCCAUCCUUCUCAAACUCUUCCAAAAAAUUGCAGAGGAUGGAACACUCCCAAACUCAUUCUGCAAGGCCACCAUCACCCUGAUACCAAAACCAGACAAAGAUACUACAGAAAAAGAAAAUUACAGACUGAUAUCACUGAUGAACCUAGAUGCAAAAAUCCUCAACAAAAUACUAGCAAACAGAAUCCAACAGCACAUUAAAAGGAUCAUACACCAUGAUCAAGUGGGAUUUAUCCCAGAGAUGCAAGGAUUCUUCAAUAUACGUAAAUCAAUCAGUGUGAUACACCAUAUUAACAAAUUGAAGAAUAAAAACCAUGCUUUUCUCAAUAGAUGCAAAAAAAACUUUUGAGAAAAUUCAACACCCAUUUAUGACAAAAACACUCCAGAAAGUGGGCAUAGAGGGAACCUACUUCAACAUAGUAAGGCCAUAUGCCAUAAACAACAAACCCACAGCAAACAUCAUUCUCAGUGGUGAAAAACUGAAAGCAUUUCCUCUAAGAUCAGGAACAAGACAAGGAUGUCCACUGUUGCCACUAUUACUCAACAUAGUUUGGAAGUCCUAGCCAUGGCAAUCAGAGAAGAAAAAGAAAUAAAAGGAAUCCAAAUUGGAAAGGAAGAAGUAAAGCUGUCACUGUUUGCAGAUAACAUGAUACUAUACAUAGAGAAUCCUAAAGAUGCUACCAGAAAACUAAUAGAGCUAAUCAAUGAAUUUGGUAAAGUAGCAGGAUACAAAAUUAAUGCACAGAAAUCUCUUGCAUUCCUAUACACUAACAAUGAAAGAUCAGAAAGAGAAGUUAAGGAAACACUCCCAGUCACCACUGCAACAAAAAGAAUAAAAUACCUAGGAAUAAACCUACCUAAGGAGGUAAAAGACCUGUACUCAGAAGACUAUAAGACACUGAUGAAAGAAAACAAAGAUGACACAAACAGAUGGAGCGAUAUACCAUGUUCUUGGAUUGGAAGAAUCAAUAUUGUGAAAAUGACUAUACUACCCAAAGCAAUCUACAGAUUCAAUGCAAUCCCUAUCAAAUUACCAAUGGCUUUUUUUUACAAAACCAGAAGAAAAAACCUUUAAAUUUGUAUGGAGACGCAAAACACCCCGAAUAGCCAAAGCAAUCUUGAGGGAAAAAAGCGGAGCUGGAGAAAUCAAACUCCCUGACUUCAGACUAUACUACAAAACUACAGUAAUCAAGACAGUAUGGUAGUUUCACAAAAACAGAAAUAUUGACCAAUGGAACAAGAUAGAAAGCCCAGAGAUAAACCCAUGCACCUAUUGUCAACUAACCUAUGACAAAGAAGACAAGGGUAUACAAUGGAGAAAAGACAGUCUCUUCAAUAAGUGGUGCUGGGAAAACUGGACAGCUACAUGUAAAAGAAUGAAAUUAGAACACUCCCUAACACCAUACACAAAAAUAAAGUCAAAAUGGAUUAAAGACCUAAAUGUAAGACUGGACACUAUAAAACUCUUAGAGGAAAACAUAAGAAGAACACUCUAUGACAUAAAUCACAGCAAGAUCCCUUUUGACCCACCUCCUAGAGAAAUGGAAAUAAAAAAAAUAAAUAAAUGGGACCUAAUGAAACUUAAGAGCUUUUGCACAGCAAAGGAAACCAUAAACAAGACGAAAAGACAACCCUCAGAAUGGGAGAAAAUAUUUGCAAACGAAGCAGCUGACAAAGGAUUAAUCUCCAAAAUAUACAAGCAGCUCAUGCAGCUCAAUAUCAAAAAACAAACAACCCAAUCCAAAAAUGGGCAGAAGAGCUAAAUAGACAUUUCCAAGAAGACAUACAGAUGGCCAAGAGGCAUAUGAAAAGCUGCUCAACAUCAUUAAUUAUUAGAGAAAUGGAAAUCAAAGCUACAGUGAGGUGUUACCUCACACCGGUAGAACGGGCAUCAUCAGAAAAUCUAGAAACAACAAAUGCUGGAGAGGGUGUGGAGAGAAGGGAACCUUCUUGCAUUGUUGGUGGGAAUGUAAAUCGAUACUAUGGAGAACAGUAUGGAGGUUCCUUAAAAAACUAAAAAAUAGAAUUACCAUAUGACCCAGCAAUCCCACUACUAGGCAUAUACCCAGAGAAAACCAUAAUUCAAAAAGACGCAUGCACCCCAAUGUUCACUGCAGCACUGUUUACAAUAGCCAGGUCAUGGAAGCAACCUAAAUGCCCACUGACAGACAAAUGGAUAAAGAAGAUGUGGUACAUAUAUACAAUGGAAUAUUACUCAGCCAUAACAAGGAACAAAAUUUGGUCAUUUGUAGAGAUGUGGAUGGACCUAGAGACUCUGUAUACAGAGUGAAGUCAGUCAGAAAGAGAAAAACGAAUAUCAUAUACUAACACAUAUAUGUGGGAUCUAGAGAAAUGGUACAGAUGAACUGGUUUGCAAGGCAGAAAUAGAGACACAGAUGUAGAGAACAAACAUAUGGACACCAAGGGGGGAAAGCAGGGGUUGGGGGGGCCGGUGGUGGGAUGAAUUGGGAGAUUGGGAUUGACAUAUACACAGUAAUGUGUAUAAAAUAGAUAACUAGUAAGAACCUGCUGUAUAAAAAAUUAAAUUUUUUAAAAAAGAAUCUGCAUAUAACAGCAAGGUGGGUAACCACAAAAAAUAACUGAAAAUAAAUAAAUAAAUAAAA
This is a long non-coding RNA of Orcinus orca (killer whale), 7746 nucleotides long. RefSeq lists it as uncharacterized. NCBI's taxonomy places the organism in Eukaryota, Metazoa, Chordata, Mammalia, Artiodactyla, Delphinidae. The record is from RefSeq and is a predicted model, not a curated record. The transcript has 2 exons.